This is a long non-coding RNA of Lutra lutra (Eurasian river otter), 382 nucleotides long. RefSeq lists it as uncharacterized. Lineage: Eukaryota; Metazoa; Chordata; Mammalia; Carnivora; Mustelidae. The record is from RefSeq and is a predicted model, not a curated record. The transcript is spliced from 3 exons.
CGGAAAAGCCACCGGACCACAGUGCACUUCGCAUGAGUGAGUGAGCCGAGGGAGUGUUUAGGGUUUGUUUGUUGCUGCAAAUCGCAGAGCCUGUCCUGACUCAUACAGAGAACGAUGCAGAAGCAGAAGCAAGGAGGUACCUCCACCCAGCCCUGCUCUCCUCACCAGAGCCCCGAGGAAAGGGCCUCAGUUCUAGAAAAGGCAGAAGAAGAACUUCAGUAAAGGUGGACUUGAAUAUCUGCUUUCACACUUUUACGUGACAAGCGACAGGACCCAACACUUCUUAAGCAAAAUGCAGUGGUUUGCGUCAAUCAACUGUAUUUCCUGCUAGCAGCCUGAAACGCUUUUCGGGAGGAGACAGAGAUCACAAGCCGGCAGAGAG